AACGAACGUUGGCGGCAUGGAUUAGGCAUGCAAGUCGCGGGAAUCCCAGCAAUGGGGGAACCGGCGUAAGGGGCAGUAAGGCAUGGGUAACCUACCCCGGGGUUCGGGAUAGCCCUCCGAGAGGAGGGGUAAUACCGGAUGACGUCGUGAGACCAAAGGUCCGCCGCCCUGGGAGGGGCCCAUGUGAUAUUAGCUAGUUGGCGGGGUAACGGCCCACCAAGGCUGAGAUGUCUAGCGGGUGUGAGAGCACGACCCGCGCCACUCGCACUGAGACACUGGCGAGACACCUACGGGUGGCUGCAGUCGAGGAUCUUCGGCAAUGGGCGCAAGCCUGACCGAGCGACGCCGCGUGUGCGAUGAAGGCCUUCGGGUUGUAAAGCACUGUCGAGGGGGAGAAAACCCCAAAGGGUUGAUCUAUCCCUGGAGGAAGCACGGGCUAAGUUCGUGCCAGCAGCCGCAGUAAAAC
This 466-nucleotide ribosomal RNA is filed under the name uncultured bacterium. RNAcentral describes it as "bacterial SSU rRNA". It matches the Rfam family "Bacterial small subunit ribosomal RNA", at positions 28 to 526 of the family's 1533-position model. The record is from RNAcentral.